Molecule: ribosomal RNA, 253 nt
Filed under: uncultured bacterium
Lineage: Bacteria
Description: partial 16S ribosomal RNA
Rfam family: Bacterial small subunit ribosomal RNA
Source: RNAcentral
UACGGGGGGGGCAAGCGUUGUUCGGAAUUACUGGGCGUAAAGGGCGAGUAGGUGGCCAUCUAAGUCAGACGUGAAAUCCCCCGGCUUAACCGGGGAACUGCGUCCGAUACUGGAUGGCUUGAGUUUGGGAGAGGGAUGCGGAAUUCCAGGUGUAGCGGUGAAAUGCGUAGAUAUCUGGAGGAACACCGGUGGCGAAGGCGGCAUCCUGGACCAACACUGACACUGAGGAGCGAAAGCCAGGGGAGCAAACGGG